UCCAGAGUGCCGUUUGAGCCUGCAUCCCUCGGGGUGCUUGGUUCAAAAACCCAGCUGAGGUUGCAGCGGUGUGUGCAGGGAGCGCUCUCAGCUCGGAGGUGCUGGUGCUGAAGCAGGCAGGGUAGAGGGGCUGUGCCUGCCCCCUGGGGAAUCCCUCCGCUCCCUACCGGAGCUGCCCUGGGGCUGUGGCCACGUCACGUCAUCUCUCUGCUCUUUGCUUUCUCCUUUGUAAGAUUAAAAAUAGUGCUUACCCUCAGAACAGGAAACAGCGUAUGGGAAGAGACCGGAGAGCUUUGAUGGCAGAAGCAGGUCAGGGCAGCGUCUUCUCACAUUUCUGUAUCCAGGCAGAAAACCAUCCCAAGCCACUGCAUCUCCAUUUGUCCUGGCAUGUUGUACAUCGCUCCGUUCACUUGUAGGUACUUCUCCCCAUAGCUGUAGGCUCUCUCCUGACAUCUUCAAUUCGAUGUCAUUUGCACAGCCUCUGUUUCGGAUGUCUAACCCUCUCGCUAACUUCUGUGUCUCAAAGCAGGUCUGCCUGAGGGUGCCUGACAGACCAGAGCAGUCUCUGAGCCCCAGGCUACGAAUUAAUUACUGCCAAUCUGAAUUCAGCUGAGGCUGACCCAGCCUGACAGAUACAAGCUGGGAAUGCUUCUCAUAAUGUCACGCAGCCCGUGCUUACAGCUGCCCUUCCUGUCUCUGUACAAGGGGCUUGUCCUGGGAGCUCGAAGGCUGAUUC
This is a long non-coding RNA of Oxyura jamaicensis (ruddy duck), 736 nucleotides long. RefSeq lists it as uncharacterized. The transcript has 2 exons. NCBI's taxonomy places the organism in Eukaryota, Metazoa, Chordata, Aves, Anseriformes, Anatidae. The record is from RefSeq and is a predicted model, not a curated record.